CUCCCUCUCUCUCUCUCUCUCUCUCUCUCUCUCUCUAUCUCUCGCAAUCGCAACGGAGACGUGCUUGUGCUGUGACUGACUUGGGCUCUCUUCACUGUUUGCAUGUGGGCAGAUGUCAGGUAAAAAAGCAGAGUCCAUGAUAGAGAAAAGUGAAUAAGAGAAUAUAACAGAGCGAUGGAGAGAGAGAUGGAGAAUGACUUUUGUUCUUGUUUUCUUGCUUUCUCAGUGAAGAGCGGUCUUUAAAAAACCAGUCUUUUUAAAAUAACAGAAAGAAAGAAAGAAAAACCCAGUCUUUCCAGCAAUUCCCAGUUGCCAUGUAUCCUUAACCGAUUCUUCCCAUCUCUCUCUCUCUCUCUGCCUUUCACAUCCGUUGGAUUAUUGCAGCUGUCGCUAUCUCGAGGGGCAUAUAUUUAUUCAAUUUUCCUCCGUCGUGCAUUUAUCUUCAUGUGACUUUGAUUUCCCAUUCACAUUAUUUN
RNAcentral lists this long non-coding RNA (476 nucleotides) under Eucalyptus grandis. Its description in RNAcentral is "long non-coding RNA (EGRA_LNC000914)". The record is from RNAcentral. Lineage: Eukaryota; Viridiplantae; Streptophyta; Magnoliopsida; Myrtales; Myrtaceae.